GGAAAACUCGUCCUCAGAAAUCAGAAAGAAAUUUUCCUUCACCAUAAUGCGUGAUGACUCAGAGGACUUUUUUCAUGCCUUGAAAUAAUCUAUUGAGAUGUGAGACUGGAGGGGAAACUAUGUCUUCAUUCACCUAGGGAUCACAUUGGAAACUGUGAACGACAGGACAUUUGACCAUCAACCCACCAUUUCCACACAGAAGUGUCAGAGUUGAGAGUGAGCUGGUUGUAUAAGAAGCAGCUGCAAGGCAUCAGGGAAGUCCCUGAAGUGGGACAAAGGGUUGGUGGCGGAAAUGAUGUCAAGAUAAAUGAACCAUGAAACCUAAUUUAUAAAAGAGCUACCCUGAAUUGCAGCAAAUGCACGGAUACUCCCAUCUCAAAUGCACACCUACAACAUGAGCUAUGAAACCCAGUUUAUAAAAGAGCUACCCUGAAUUGCAGCAAAUGUAGGGAUACUCCCAUCUCAAAUGCACCCCUGCAGUGACAUCUGUCAGGAGCCUAUGGAGACAGCUGCCUCACCCAGAAGGCCUCUUGCAUUUUUAUUUUUGCAAAUAUUCAGCAGGGAUGGAGGGGACUGCGUCUGCUCUCUCCACUUUCUUCCUGGAGAGAAGAGGACAUGAUGGAGAACAGAAGGCAAGGACAAUACAUUCCACUCACAUUUCUAAGAAUUCCAUGACCGGAAGCUGCCACAAAAAUAAUGCAAAGGUCUGUCACCAAUCACAGAUGCAAGGCCUCACAGAAAGCCCACUUGAGCUGAGAGGUGAAGUUGUUCCCUGCAGAUGCUCACAUGAAAAUGAGAUAAAUAGUGAACUCUUUGAAGAUGCACUGGAAAGAUUUCCUCGACAAGGCAGAAAUGAGACACAUGACACAUAAGCCUUUAAGAGUGACCUCAGAGGAAAACAGAAUUUGCUGGAUGAUACAGAAGCAGAAAAGGGAAAACCAGAGCUCCGAGGCACCGCGUGUCAACCACCAGAUGGAUUAGCUCUGCUGAUCAACCGAUCAUGGAGUGUGGAGCCAGUUGCAGAAAGGGAGGAGAAUAGAGGAAUAAAAGGGAGGGGAGAAGACACAAAAGGCUUAGCUGUAGUCAUAGCAGGGUGGGCUCUAGAUGGACAUGGGCAUGGGUUGGAAUCCCAGCUCUUUCUGGAAAAUU
Molecule: long non-coding RNA, 1149 nt
Organism: Gorilla gorilla gorilla (western lowland gorilla)
Lineage: Eukaryota; Metazoa; Chordata; Mammalia; Primates; Hominidae
Exons: 4
Source: RefSeq, a predicted model, not a curated record